Molecule: ribosomal RNA, 464 nt
Filed under: Vreelandella stevensii
Lineage: Bacteria; Pseudomonadati; Pseudomonadota; Gammaproteobacteria; Oceanospirillales; Halomonadaceae
Description: partial 16S ribosomal RNA
Rfam family: Bacterial small subunit ribosomal RNA
Source: RNAcentral
CCUACGGGCGCUGCAGUGGGGAAUAUUGGACAAUGGGCGAAAGCCUGAUCCAGCCAUGCCGCGUGUGUGAGGAAGGCCUUCGGGUUGUAAAGCACUUUCAGUGGGGAAGAAAGCCUUGGGGCUAAUACCCUCGAGGAAGGACAUCACCCACAGAAGAAGCACCGGCUAACUCCGUGCCAGCAGCCGCGGUAAUACGGAGGGUGCGAGCGUUAAUCGGAAUUACUGGGCGUAAAGCGCGCGUAGGCGGUCUGAUAAGCCGGUUGUGAAAGCCCCGGGCUCAACCUGGGAACGGCAUCCGGAACUGUCAGGCUAGAGUGCAGGAGAGGAAGGUAGAAUUCCCGGUGUAGCGGUGAAAUGCGUAGAGAUCGGGAGGAAUACCAGUGGCGAAGGCGGCCUUCUGGACUGACACUGACGCUGAGGUGCGAAAGCGUGGGUAGCAAACAGGAUUAGAUACCCUUGUAGUC